This 1031-nucleotide ribosomal RNA is filed under the name Escherichia coli. RNAcentral's name for it is "partial 23S ribosomal RNA". It matches the Rfam family "Bacterial large subunit ribosomal RNA", at positions 1 to 1072 of the family's 2925-position model. RNAcentral also lists the same sequence under 1 other name. Lineage: Bacteria; Pseudomonadati; Pseudomonadota; Gammaproteobacteria; Enterobacterales; Enterobacteriaceae. The record is from RNAcentral.
GGUUAAGCGACUAAGCGUACACGGUGGAUGCCCUGGCAGUCAGAGGCGAUGAAGGACGUGCUAAUCUGCGAUAAGCGUCGGUAAGGUGAUAUGAACCGUUAUAACCGGCGAUUUCCGAAUGGGGAAACCCAGUGUGAUUCGUCACACUAUCAUUAACUGAAUCCAUAGGUUAAUGAGGCGAACCGGGGGAACUGAAACAUCUAAGUACCCCGAGGAAAAGAAAUCAACCGAGAUUCCCCCAGUAGCGGCGAGCGAACGGGGAGCAGCCCAGAGCCUGAAUCAGUGUGUGUGUUAGUGGAAGCGUCUGGAAAGGCGUGCGAUACAGGGUGACAGCCCCGUACACAAAAAUGCACAUACUGUGAGCUCGAUGAGUAGGGCGGGACACGUGGUAUCCUGUCUGAAUAUGGGGGGACCAUCCUCCAAGGCUAAAUACUCCUGACUGACCGAUAGUGAACCAGUACCGUGAGGGAAAGGCGAAAAGAACCCCGGCGAGGGGAGUGAAAAAGAACCUGAAACCGUGUACGUACAAGCAGUGGGAGCACGCUUAGGCGUGUGACUGCGUACCUUUUGUAUAAUGGGUCAGCGACUUAUAUUCUGUAGCAAGGUUAACCGAAUAGGGGAGCCGAAGGGAAACCGAGUCUUAACUGGGCGUUAAGUUGCAGGGUAUAGACCCGAAACCCGGUGAUCUAGCCAUGGGCAGGUUGAAGGUUGGGUAACACUAACUGGAGGACCGAACCGACUAAUGUUGAAAAAUUAGCGGAUGACUUGUGGCUGGGGGUGAAAGGCCAAUCAAACCGGGAGAUAGCUGGUUCUCCCCGAAAGCUAUUUAGGUAGCGCCUCGUGAAUUCAUCUCCGGGGGUAGAGCACUGUUUCGGCAAGGGGGUCAUCCCGACUUACCAACCCGAUGCAAACUGCGAAUACCGGAGAAUGUUAUCACGGGAGACACACGGCGGGUGCUAACGUCCGUCGUGAAGAGGGAAACAACCCAGACCGCCAGCUAAGGUCCCAAAGUCAUGGUUAAGUGGGAAACG